GGGUCGAUGCCCGAGUGGUUAAAGGGGGCGGAUUGUAAAUCCGCUGAUUUUAUCUACGCUGGUUCGAAUCCAGCUCGGCCCA
This is a non-coding RNA of Prototheca wickerhamii, 82 nucleotides long. Lineage: Eukaryota; Viridiplantae; Chlorophyta; Trebouxiophyceae; Chlorellales; Chlorellaceae. The record is from the annotation of a GenBank genome assembly.